AUUCCAGCUCCAAUAGCGUAUAUUAAAGUUGUUGCGGUUAAAAAGCUCGUAGUUGGAUUUCUGCCGAGGACGACCGGUCCGCCCUCUGGGUGAGUAUCUGGCUCGGCCUGGGCAUCUUCUUGGAGAACGUAACUGCACUUGACUGUGUGGUGCGGUAUCCAGGACUUUUACUUUGAGGAAAUUAGAGUGUUUCAAGCAGGCACACGCCUUGAAUACAUUAGCAUGGAAUAAUAAUCUAGGACUUCGGUUCUAUUUUGUUGGUUUCUAGAUCUGAAGUAAUGAUUGAUAGGGAUAGUUGGGGGUGCUAGUAUUAAGGGGCCAGAGGUGAAAUUCUUGGAUUCUCUUAAGACUAACUUAUGCGAAAGCAUUCACCAAGGAUGUCUUCAUCG
This 389-nucleotide ribosomal RNA is filed under the name Dinophyceae sp. RNAcentral's name for it is "partial small subunit ribosomal RNA". It matches the Rfam family "Eukaryotic small subunit ribosomal RNA", at positions 582 to 975 of the family's 1831-position model. Lineage: Eukaryota; Dinophyceae. The record is from RNAcentral.